This 292-nucleotide ribosomal RNA is filed under the name uncultured eukaryote. Its description in RNAcentral is "partial 18S ribosomal RNA". It matches the Rfam family "Eukaryotic small subunit ribosomal RNA", at positions 6 to 295 of the family's 1831-position model. The record is from RNAcentral.
GGUUGAUCCUGCCAGUAGUCAUAUGCUUGUCUCAAAGAUUAAGCCAUGCAUGUGUAAGUAUGAACUAAUUCAGACUGUGAAACUGCGAAUGGCUCAUUAAAUCAGUUAUAGUUUAUUUGAUGGUAUUUACUACUCGGAUAACCGUAGUAAUUCUAGAGCUAAUAUGUGCAACAAACCCCGACUUCUGGAAGGGGUGCAUUUAUUAGAUAAAAGGUCGACGCAGGCUUUGCCUGUUGCUUCGAUGAUUCAUGAUAACUCGUCGGAUCGCACAGCCCUUGUGCUGGCGACGCAU